GCUAUACUCUCGCUCUCCUCUCAAAACCCUAAUUUGAACUCUUUCUCUUCUCUUCUCUGGCGAACACGGCGACUAAACAAGAGCCAAUAAUUUUGAUCAAGAAUCAACGGAUUUGAAGAUAAAUCAUAUACGGAAAUCAAAUCCUCGAGAUCAAAUCGGCGAUUUAGUGAAGAGGUAUAAUAAAUCUUCAUCGAUGGUAUUGAUUCGUGAUUCCGAUAUCCCCAUCUUUUACAUACGCUUUCGUUUUCUUUGAUCCGAUGUUUCAGAUUCAAUGGUUUUGUUAGAUUCUUUGUUUGUUAGAUUAUCGAACGCGAUUGAUGUUAUUAUGGUAUUGAUUCGUGAUUUCGUGGUUUUGAUUUCAUUAGAUUCAUGUGUUAAUUUGGGGGAAAAUGAAGUGGUGUAUAUGAUUUGAUUUAAGUUUUUGAGUGAAAUUAGAAAUGUAAUGUGAGUUUUUUUUUAUGAAUUGGUGAUUUUAAUUUUUUUUUUGUGAUUUGAUUAGAGUUUUUGAGUGAAAUCUGAAAUAAGAAAGUGACUUUUUAGUCGGUUACGAUUGCAUGAAUUUGUGGUUAAUCAUCCACUGUUCGUGAAGUUUGGUAAUGUGGGGAUGAUCACGAAGGCGAACCUCGUGACGUACCAUGGACCGACUAUGGUGGCGAAUAAGCUUCACGCGGCAGCGAUGUUGUUGAGAGAUGGUGGAGAUUGGGACUGGUUUAUUAAUUUGAGUUCUUCUGAUUAUCCACUGGUCACUUAAGACGAUCUGAUUUAUGUGUUCUCUUCGUUACCGAGGGAUGUUAAUUUUAUUGAUCAUACGAGUAAUAUUUGAUGGAAAGAGUUUCAAAGAGCGAAGCCUGUGAUUGUGGAUCCUGGGUUGUAUAUGAGUGAAAAGAGUGAUGUGUUUUGGAUUAUACAGAGGAGGAGUGUGCCAACAGCUUUUAAAUUGUUUACAGGUUUUUGUUAUGGCAUCCUUUUUUUAUACAGAGAGUUAUUUAGAUUAUAUAUGUUAGUAAUUAUAGGAUUGCCUUUGAAUAUUGUGAUAUGGACAUAUAGGUAAUUAGGUAUGGGGUAAUGGUACUACCAAAUUAUUCAAUUUUGGAUGUGAAAUCUGUUGAAAAUGAAAAAAGUUUAAAUUUUUUUCUAAUGUUUAUCUAUGAGAACUUUAUGGGCACUUCGAGAUGUGCUUUUACUUGAUUUAGCUAAGCAUUGGCCAUUUCUCGUGUUUGAGUUGUUCAUUUUUGUAACUUCCAUUCCCAGGCCCGGCAUAGGUUGUACCACCAAUAACAUCACACAAAGAGUUAGUUUUUUAGAGAUCUAGAUAAAACAUUUCCAUUCCAUGCGUUUUGAUUAAACCAAAACGUCUUUAAUUUUGGUUUCAAUUUUUCACGCCACAAAACCCAUGUGAUACUAUGUUC
This is a long non-coding RNA of Helianthus annuus (common sunflower), 1409 nucleotides long. RefSeq lists it as uncharacterized. The transcript is spliced from 4 exons. Lineage: Eukaryota; Viridiplantae; Streptophyta; Magnoliopsida; Asterales; Asteraceae. The record is from RefSeq and is a predicted model, not a curated record.